This is a long non-coding RNA of Oreochromis aureus, 1916 nucleotides long. Lineage: Eukaryota; Metazoa; Chordata; Actinopteri; Cichliformes; Cichlidae. The record is from Ensembl.
CACAAAUCUCAUAAAAUAGCAGAAAUAGUAUGAUUUAGCAGAAAUCCUGUAUUUAGCACAAAUACUGAAAAGCAGCAGAAAUGCUAUGACUUAGCACAACAGUAAUAACUUAUAGAAAAAUUGGAAAAGCAAAAUGGACAGCUGGAAAAAUCCUGAACAUGCUAAGGGUCCCUCAAAUCUAAUUGUUAAUUGAAAAAAAAAAAAAAAAAAAAAAAAGUAUAACAGUCACACAAUCACAAAUAUGGGCACAUAUGGAAACACACAUGCACAGAGAGACACACACAGGACCAAAUUCAGUCAACCAGUCUAAAUAUAUUGAAUUUAAGUGAUAUAAUAAGAUGCUCCCAUCAAAAGGCUCUCUCUCUCUUGCUCUCUCUCUCUCUCUCACACACACACACACACACACACACACACACACAGAGCCUAAAGGGAACAGUAUUUGUGCCAUGGAGUGUUAAGAAGAAUCUGAGGUCCAUGUUAGAAAAGCUGGUAAAAUCAUAAAAGUUUGCAGAAUUGUAAUAAAUGAUGAAUAUGAAUUAGUGGUCUGUGAUAGUGUAUUAAUUUGUAGGGAAAAAAAACAUGUUGCCCAAGGUGUAAUUGAACCCACGACCUUUGGGUUGCAGACCUGUGUUAUUACCAACUGCGCCACUGGGAAAGAGCGAGCGCCUGGAAAACAGGGUGAUGAGCAGUCAGAAUUAGAUUGCGGUGAGAGGCGAAAAACGCUGUUUUUUGGAGUUACAAAACGUCGUGUAACUCAAAAACUAGGUGGACUAGAAGCAUAAUUCUUGUACUGGGUGAAUCAGCGGACUUUGGUGUGCUUUGACUGUGAUUUGCAUUGCUCUUUGUACAUCUGUCGCUGAGAUAUGACGAGAGAAGAAAGGGCAGACCUCAGAUAUGAUUGGCUGGCUGGGAAGCCGUGCAGGCCCUGAUAUGUAAAUUUUAUAUGUAUCAGUCCUCACAGAGGAUUAGCUGCCUGGGGACCUGGCAGAAAUAUAUACAAAUAGUAUGAUUAAGCAUAAAUACUACAUUUAGUAGAAAUACUAUGUUUUAGCACAAAUACUAUAAAAUGGCAGGAAUACUAUAAUUAAGCAGAAAUACUAUAUUUGGUAGUAGUAGUAGUAUUAGUGGCACGGUGGCAGCACGGUGGCACGGUGGUUAGCACUGUGCCGCACAGCAAGAAGGUCCUGAGUUCGAUUCCACCAUCAGGCCGGGGUCUUUCUGUGUGGAGUUUGCAUGUUCUCCCCGUGUUUGCGUGGGUUCCCUCCGGGUACUCCGGCUUCCUCCCACUGUCCAAAGACAUGCAGUUUGAGGGGAUAGGUUAAUUGGAUAAUCCAAAUUGUCACUAGGUGUGAAUGUGUGAGUGAAUGUGAGCGUGAGUGGUUGUUUGUCCCUGUGUGUUGGCCCUGCGACAGACUGGCGACCUGUCCAGGGUGUACCCCGCCUCUCGCCCUAUGACAGCUGGGAUAGGCUCCAGCGCCCCCCGCGACCCUGGAAAGGAUAAGCGGAAGCGAAUGGAUGGAUGGAUGGAUGGAUACUAUAUUUGGCAGAAACACUAUAUUUAGUACAAAUCUUAUGAAAUAGCAGAAAUAGUAUGAUUUAGCAGAAAUGCUGUAUUUGGCACAAAUACUGAAAAGCAGCAGAAAUGCUAUGACUUAGCACAACAGUAAUAACUUAUAGAAAAAUUGGAAAAGCAAAAUGGACAGCUGGAAAAAUCCUGAACAUGCUAAGGGUCCCUCAAAUCUAAUUGUUAAUUGAAAAAAAAAAUCAGCAAAAAAGUAUAACAGUGACACAAUCACAAAUAUGGACACAUAUGGAAACACACAUGCACAGAGAGACACACACAGGAUCAAACACAGGAUCAAAUUCAGUCAACCAGUCUAAAUAUAUUGAAUUUAAAUCACAUAAUAAGAUGCUCC